RNAcentral lists this long non-coding RNA (840 nucleotides) under Brachypodium distachyon (stiff brome). Its description in RNAcentral is "long non-coding RNA (BDIS_LNC004827)". The record is from RNAcentral. Lineage: Eukaryota; Viridiplantae; Streptophyta; Magnoliopsida; Poales; Poaceae.
GGAUCUUGAAUCACUAAUGAUCAAUGGAGGGAUGUUGAUUUUAGUGGGAGUAUAUUUCUAUUAAAGUGUUUAAUAUGAAUUACUUUUCAUGAAUACUUGUCUUAGCGUUUUUGCAUUUUCUGUUGUAGAUCAAUGGUACCACCUCAAUUGUCCAGUUUUGCUUUGAGAUCUAUAACAUCCCAAUUUUCAAAACUCUCCAUAUGCAUUGCAUUUCAUAAGCAUCAUACCACCCUUGCAUUUAACCACAUUUUAAAAAAAACCUAAAAUUAACCCAGAAAACCCCUUCUACAAAAGUACUUUUAUUUUUGGCCCUUGUUCUUGCUUUUGAAUAAUUGCAUUUUAACCCAUAAGGGUUUCGCCGUAAAAAGGGAUUUAAUGCAUAUAUAUAGCUAUCCCAUAAUUUGGCUUUUGAAAUUAUUUUGAAAAACAAAUUAUAUUGAUAGUCUAAAAGGCCUUAAAGGCUAAAUUUAUAGGCAAAGGUAUUUUUAAAUAUUUUAUUUUGAGGGAAUUCUUGUCCCAAAAGUUAAAUCAUAUGAAAAUAUGAUUUUAUAAAUUUUUGUUGCAACUUAUUUGGAGUGAUUUGGAGCUUUGAAUCAAUUUUGGUGUUCAAAAACGGAAAAUAGAAAAAGAAAAAGGAAAAGAAGAAGAAAAAAAGAAAACCGCGGCCGGCACGACCAAAUGGGCCGAACCGGCCUGCUAACUGACCGAACCGGACCAAACCGGCCCAGCCCCGCGUGCCCGAGCCGCCUGUGCCGCUGACAUGUGGGCCCCGCCCAUCAUCUUCUCCAACCGCCCGGCCGAAAACUCCGGCCACAACCCGCGAGCACGCCCACGACUCCG